Molecule: long non-coding RNA, 1463 nt
Organism: Haliotis rufescens (red abalone)
Lineage: Eukaryota; Metazoa; Mollusca; Gastropoda; Lepetellida; Haliotidae
Exons: 2
Source: RefSeq, a predicted model, not a curated record
GGUAACCAGUGGUCAGUGAUGAGCUCUGUUGAGGGGUAACUGUCCAACGCCGGCAGGGGGACUUGACAAACUUACAAUGCACUUUGUAAACUUGAAACAAGUUGAAGAUUGUUGUUGGGAGCCGUGGAUGUGUUAUGGACUGGAAGCGUGAGGCGGCGUGCUUAUCGACGAAGAGCUGCUUGAAACUUGAUCAAGGCUGCUGCAGCAGAUACUGUACGUGUUGUCAGCACGCGACACGUGCUUCUCACGCGCCAGCACGUGCUGGUGGAAUACCGCAACAUAGCAACGCUGUCUGUGCCGAUGACCCCACAGACUAAACCACUGGCACCAGAAGGGGUUAGUCCGCCUGUAAUUUGAAGCUUGGAGAUGGAACAAGUUGAUGGAGACGAAUGCAGCAUAGUAAUACGUGGUCCUAACAAUCGGGAACAGAGUUGAAUGAUGAAUUGUCCUUGGUUAUUAUGAAGAGAGGGAGCUAGCUCAGUUUUAACUUUCAGUUGCAUAUCAGUCACCCGGCUCCCAGCUCUGAACAUGUGCUUCUUUUCACCAUUCAUGGAUCGCAUGAAACAUUACCAUCAAAAAGUUAUAUGCAUUUAUCUAGAAGAAUAAUAUGUGUCCUUGUGUCCAUUGCUAUUCUUGGGGUAAAUGUACCAGUGUCAUUGUGUCUUUGUGUCUUUGUGUCCAUUGUUAUUCUUGGGGUAAAUAUACCAAUGUCUUUUUGUCCAUUGUUAUUCUUGGGGUAAAUACGCUAUACAAGUGUCUUAGUGUCCAUUGUAAUUCUUGGGUUAAAUACGCUAUACCAGUGUCUUUGUGUCCAUUGUAAUUCUUGGGUUAAAUACGCUAUACCAGUGUCUUUGUGUCCAUUGUAAUUCUUGGGGUAAAUAUACCAGUGUCUUAGUGUCCAUUGUAAUUCUUGGGGUAAAUAUACCAGUGUCUUAGUGUCCAUUGUUAUUCUUGGGGUAAAUAUACCAGUGUCUUUGUGUCCAUUGUUAUUCUUGGGUUAAAUACGCUAUACCAGUGUCAUAGUGUCCAUUGUAAUUCUUGGGUUAAAUACGCUAUACCAGUGUCUUUUUGUCCAUUGUAAUUCUUGGGUUAAAUACGCUAUACCAGUGUCUUAGUGUCUAUUGUAAUUCUUGGGUUAAAUACGCUAUACCAGUGUCUUAGUGUCUAUGAUAAUUCUUGGGGUAAAUAUACCAGUGUCUUUUUGUCCAUUGUAAUUCUUGGGUUAAAUACGCUAUACCAGUGUCUUAGUGUCCAUUGUAAUUCUUGGAGUAAAUAUACCAGUGUCUUUGUGUCUAUGAUAACUAUUGGGGUAAAUAUACCAGUGUCUUAGUGUCCAUUGUAAUUCUUGGGUUAAAUACGCUAUACCAGUGUCUUAGUGUCCAUUGCAAUUUUGGGUUGAAUACGCUAUACCAGUGUCUUAGUGUCUAUGAUAAUUCUUGGGGUAAAUAUACCAGUGUCUUUGU